Molecule: ribosomal RNA, 530 nt
Filed under: Diodon hystrix (spot-fin porcupinefish)
Lineage: Eukaryota; Metazoa; Chordata; Actinopteri; Tetraodontiformes; Diodontidae
Description: partial 16S ribosomal RNA
Rfam family: Bacterial large subunit ribosomal RNA
Source: RNAcentral
UAAGAGGUCCCGCCUGCCCUGUGACUAUAUGUUUAACGGCCGCGGUAUUUUGACCGUGCGAAGGUAGCGCAAUCACUUGUCCUUUAAAUGGGGACCUGUAUGAAUGGCACAACGAGGGCUUAACUGUCUCCUCUUUCAAGUCAAUGAAAUUGAUCUCUCCGUGCAGAAGCGGAGAUACUACCAUAAGACGAGAAGACCCUGUGGAGCUUUAGACACCAAAACAGACCAUGUUAAAAACCCUAAAACAAAAGAUUAAACUCAAUGCCCCCUGACUUGAUGUCUUCGGUUGGGGUGACCGAGGAGAAGAACACAACCUCCAUGCGGAAUAGGAGUACUACUCCCACAAUCACGAACCCCCGUUCUAAUUACCAGAAUUUCUGACCCUAUGAUCCGGCAACGCCGAUUAACGAACCAAGUUACCCCAGGGAUAACAGCGCAAUCCCCUUUUAGAGCCCCUAUCAACAAGGGGGUUUACGACCUCGAUGUUGGAUCAGGACAUCCUAAUGGCGCAGCCGCUAUUAAGGUUCGUU